GACGAACGCUGGCGGCGUGCUUAACACAUGCAAGUCGAACGGAAAGGCCCUGCUUUUGUGGGGGGCUCGAGUGGCGAAAGGGUGAGUAACACGUGAGUAACCUGCCCUUGACUUUGGGGUAAAUUCAGGAAACUGGGGCUAAUACCGGAUAGGAGGUCCUGCUGCAUGGUGGGGGGUGGAAAGGUUCGGCGGUUGGGGAUGGACUCGCGGCUUAUCAGCUUGUUGGUGGGGUAGUGGCUUACCAAGGCUUUGACGGGUAGCCGGCCUGAGAGGGUGACCGGCCACAUUGGGACUGAGAUACGGCCCAGACUCCUACGGGAGGCAGCAGUGGGGAAUAUUGCACAAUGGGCGGAAGCCUGAUGCAGCAACGCCGCGUGCGGGAUGACGGCCUUCGGGUUGUAAACCGCUUUCGCCUGUGACGAAGCGUGAGUGACGGUAAUGGGUAAAGAAGCACCGGCUAACUACGUG
RNAcentral lists this ribosomal RNA (468 nucleotides) under uncultured bacterium. RNAcentral describes it as "partial 16S ribosomal RNA". It matches the Rfam family "Bacterial small subunit ribosomal RNA", at positions 28 to 507 of the family's 1533-position model. The record is from RNAcentral.